This 64-nucleotide transfer RNA is filed under the name Nocardioides albus. RNAcentral's name for it is "tRNA-Met". Lineage: Bacteria; Bacillati; Actinomycetota; Actinomycetes; Propionibacteriales; Nocardioidaceae. The record is from RNAcentral.
AGGUCAGGGCGAUGCAACCGGAGGACUCAUAAUCCUUGGGUCGCGGGUUCGAGCCCCGCACGGC